RNAcentral lists this small RNA (789 nucleotides) under Arabidopsis thaliana (thale cress). RNAcentral's name for it is "ATSL206250". Lineage: Eukaryota; Viridiplantae; Streptophyta; Magnoliopsida; Brassicales; Brassicaceae. The record is from RNAcentral.
AUUGAAGUAUUUUAGGUUGCCAAUCCAAAUGGGUGUGAUGCUAGCAAUCAAGAUGCAAUAAGAGUUCACAGAGUCAAGGCAAGCAAUAAUAGGUUUUGGGGUGUUCUAGCAGUCCUAAGUGAACAUGCAGGAAACAUGAAUUCAAGUAGAACAGUAAAAACACUCAACCAACACAGCUUGUUACCAAGCACUAGGUGUUGUCGAGUGACAGGUCGAGUAACAGACAGAAAAUGUAACAGGGAUACUCGACUGCACAGUCUGUUGCCAGACAACUGGGUGGUCGAGUAUCAGGUCGAGUAACAGGAGAGAAAUGCAAACACUAACCAAGGUAACAAGAUGCAGUAAUCAACAGCAGAGUAAACAAAGAAAUCUAUCAGAUAAAGAAUUCCCAAGGAUGGGGUAAUUGAGUAGUUUUCUUUCCUCAGUUUACAGGUGAUUGACAUGCUCAAUAAAUUAUCCAUAGACAACAAGUUCGAUAACCAAAUCUAAGUGCCACCGCAACAGAGACCCUCAAGUUAAACUAGUCCCAGACUCAAUCACCAUUGACGAGAGCUAACCUAACAGGCAUUACAAAUCAACAAGUAAAGCCAAAAUGCUCCCUGAAACCAAUACCUUGGUACAGAGCCACGAAUUUGGGAAUUUGUGGUUCAAACAUUUCAUCGAACACCUUUUGGGCGCGGAAAUGAGCAAGAUACUUGGAUUAACAAGAGUGGUUAAAAUGAAUAAGAAAAUCCAAGUAUUUUAGGGCAGCCAUGAGUUCAAAUUUGAUGCAGACAUAAUAAUUAAAAA